UACGUAGGGUGCGAGCGUUAAUCGGAAUUACUGGGCGUAAAGCGUGCGCAGGCGGUUCGUUAAGUCAGAUGUGAAAGCCCCGGGCUCAACCUGGGAACUGCAUUUGAAACUGGCGGGCUUGAGUAUGGCAGAGGGGGGUGGAAUUCCGCGUGUAGCAGUGAAAUGCGUAGAGAUGCGGAGGAACACCGAUGGCGAAGGCAGCCCCCUGGGCCGAUACUGACGCUGAGGCGCGAAAGCGUGGGGAGCAAACAGG
RNAcentral lists this ribosomal RNA (253 nucleotides) under uncultured bacterium. Its description in RNAcentral is "partial 16S ribosomal RNA". It matches the Rfam family "Bacterial small subunit ribosomal RNA", at positions 524 to 776 of the family's 1533-position model. The record is from RNAcentral.